Molecule: ribosomal RNA, 460 nt
Filed under: uncultured bacterium
Lineage: Bacteria
Description: partial 16S ribosomal RNA
Rfam family: Bacterial small subunit ribosomal RNA
Source: RNAcentral
CCUACGGGAUGCUGCAGUGAGGAAUAUUGGUCAAUGGACGAGAGUCUGAACCAGCCAAGUAGCGUGAAGGAUGACUGCCCUAUGGGUUGUAAACUUCUUUUAUAUGGGAAUAAAAUGUUCCACGUGUGGGAUUUUGUAUGUACCAUAUGAAUAAGGAUCGCCUAACUCCGUGCCAGCAGCCGCGGUAAUACGGAGGAUCCGAGCGUUAUCCGGAUUUAUUGGGUUUAAAGGGAGCGUAGGUGGAUUGUUAAGUCAGUUGUGAAAGUUUGCGGCUCAACCGUAAAAUUGCAGUUGAAACUGGCAGUCUUGAGUACAGUAGAGGUGGGCGGAAUUCGUGGUGUAGCGGUGAAAUGCUUAGAUAUCACGAAGAACUCCGAUUGCGAAGGCAGUUCACUGGACUGCAACUGACACUGAGGCUCGAAAGUGUGGGUAUCAAACAGGAUUAGAUACCCUUGUAGUC